CAAUAGCGUAUAUUUAAGUUGCUGCAGUUAAAAAGCUCGUAGUUGGAUUUCGGGUGGGAAUGGCCGGUCCGCCGUUUCGGUGUGCACUUGCUACGCCCACCUUGCUGCCGGGGACGUGCUCUUGAGUUCACGCUCGGGACACGGAGUCGGCGAGGUUACUUUGAGUAAAUUAGAGUGUUCAAAGCAGGCCCACGCUCUGAAUACAUUAGCAUGGAAUAACACGAUAGGACUCUGGCCUAUCUUGUUGGUCUGUAGGACCGGAGUAAUGAUUAAGAGGGACAGUCGGGGGCAUUCGUAUUUCGUUGUCAGAGGUGAAAUUCUUGGAUUUAUGAAAGACGAACUACUGCGAAAGCAUUUGCCAAGGAUGUUUUCAUUAA
RNAcentral lists this ribosomal RNA (377 nucleotides) under uncultured eukaryote. Its description in RNAcentral is "partial 18S ribosomal RNA". It matches the Rfam family "Eukaryotic small subunit ribosomal RNA", at positions 592 to 976 of the family's 1831-position model. The record is from RNAcentral.